Non-coding RNA from Triticum urartu, 2682 nucleotides. The record is from RefSeq and is a predicted model, not a curated record. NCBI's taxonomy places the organism in Eukaryota, Viridiplantae, Streptophyta, Magnoliopsida, Poales, Poaceae.
CACCACUCCGUAACAUCCCUAAAAAAACACUCCGGAACAUCUUGCUAAAAAUAAAACACUCCAUAACAUUUAUUUCUCCAAGUAAAACAGCCCAUACAGUUCUCUCGUCAUCUCGUUCGAUACCUCCACCAGCUCUCAUCUGGUUCGAUCCCCACCAGGCUCAUCCAAAUGCGUCAUUUCUCCUGAUUUGCUGCUGGCGAAGGAAGAUGUCGUUGGUACCAGCAGGAAACUAAUUCCUAGCCUAUUCUCUAGCAUGUGGAUCGAGUCUGCCGGCGCGGCCACGGGGAGGGCAAGGGAGAACGUGGCGUGCUACUCAACCUCGUCAUGGCCGGCAGCGAGCUGUCAUAGCUGAGGUGCUGGAUGUGGGUGGAUGCGUUGAUGGAGCUUACGGAGAAGGCUGCACCAAUUUGUGAAUUUCCCAUGCGAACACAUGCAACGGAGAAUGGUUGGAUCUAAAGGCACUAUGGAUGGCACCGUGGCUAUGGUCCAUGAGAUCUAUGGGGUAAUGUAGGCAAGUCUUACACCGCGGACUGCUCAGCACGGUGGUUCUCUUAUUAGCCCAGGCUGUGGACAAGAGAUAGUCAGAAUGGCGACAUCAGGCUAAUCUAGCCGUAUGUGGAACACUAGAGAGCAUGCGAUCGGCGUUUAUCAUGUUUUGCUAUUAAUAAGUUUAUGAAGCAAGUCAGAAUGGCGACACGGGGCAAAUCUAGCCUUAUAUGGAACACUGGAGAGCCUGCUGAUCAACUUGUAUCAUGUUUUGCUAUUAAGCUUAUGAAGCAAGGUGUAUAUGUGCUGAAUGUCCAGCCUUUUGACGAACGCGCUGGUAAUGGUGAACUAAUAUAUGUUCAGGUAAUUGUUACUUAGCAAAAAUAGUAGUAAAGUAUAUAUAAAAAUAUAAAGAAAGUAUUGAAUCUUUUCUAUAUUAAGGACAUAGUGCUAAUAUCACAUGCUAUCAAGUAAUCUUAUUAUAUAUUUAUAUUGCAUAUUUUUGAUUCCAAAACUUUAAAAUUGCAGAACAUACAAUUCAAAAAAGUGUAUGUCUGAAUGUAUUUCAAAAUUUAGAACAUGACAUGGUUUUGAUAGUGCUGACAGACACUAUCUCAGUAUAUUAUUUUUUUAUCUAAUAGGUGUCGUUGUUGGUAGAUGUUAAGUAUGCUUUCUCUAUCUCAGUAAAUAAAAUAGUCCUUAGAUUCACUGGAUAAGCUACUAAUCAAUAUCUUUUAGAUAUGAUUCAUUAGUUCAUAAGUAAUAAAGGAUGCAAUCUCAUACUUGUCAAGAAGUUCCCGAGUUUCAGAUAUUCUAGAUUUGUAUAUAUUCUUGUGGCACUGGUUCACUUUAGGUACAACCAUAGUUAGACAAUGAUAAAUAUAUUAGAUAUUAUUACUAAUUAAAAAGAAGAGCUUGUAACGUUACUUGACUUACCGCUGAACUUUUGUACUAUUAUGGAGGUUACAGUAAGGAUUAUUACCCCUAAAGAGUAUAAGCAGAAAAGUUUAAUGCUUACAGCAAUGGUUGAAGUCCAAUUAAUAUUUGAAGAAUGGGUAUGCAUACAAAGUAUAGACAUAACUGAGCAUUGUUUAUCUUUCUCGGUCCAUUCUUGUAAUAUGUCUUUGCCAGCAAUAUCGAAGUAGUAAUGUGGAUAACCUUGUGCUGAUUAUUUCAGCUUUCAAAUUGUCAAAUGCAUAAAUAGAUUUCUCAUUUAUCUUCUAUUUCUAUGUGUAUCAGAUUCUCCCAGACAUUAGCAUGAAUUGUGUUUCCCUAUAAGCACAACAAAAAUAUACUUACUGACUGUAUGCUCUUUCGGGUAGAGGCACCACUAAUGUAAUCUUUGUCCAGAGGAAGGACUUCCACAGAAAAACAAAAGUUGUUUUAGUUCUAAAAUGAUGGAACAAUCUGCAAUUAAAUAUCUUAUGGAAUAACCCUUCAUCCAUCUAGAUCAUAUUGAGGCUCAUAAGCUCGUCGACUAUAGAUUUGAUUCCCACAUUCUCAUUAGUUUCACUUCAAUGUUCCAGUUUUUCUUCCAUGUUGUGAAGUCGCCACGCUUCUUGUAUGCCAUUGUUUUCUCUGCCAGAAGGCUAGAACUUUCUUAGUCAAUAUUCCUAUGAAGAAUGUAUCCAGAAUAAUAACUACGCACCUUUAUGAUUCAGGUAACUCAGAAGGAUGGUUGGGCAUGACUUUGUCGAGUGUCAAGCAAAAAAGUAAGAUUGCUAAAUAACAAUUACUAAAUCUGAUGAUUCAGGGGAAAAGUGCUUUGGCGCCACUUGUUCCGACGUCAAUUGGAGCAGUUAGUUGUGGCUUCGUCGGGCGUCGAGCAUGCUUCGACAUGACUUUGUCAGACAUCGAGCAAAGUUGCGCUGCCUGCUAUAGAAUCUUCUUUUAUUAAUGGUGUGCUUAGCUGGGCAACAGAUUUGGCUAGCUUCAAUAUUGGAUGUGUGCUGGUCAUGGCCAAGAUUUGGUUCGCUUCAAAUUUUUUUUGAGAAGCUCAAAGGUUGGGCAUGACUUCGUCCGGCGCCGGCACCAAGUUGCAUGCGAAACUUUAGUUUUUCCUGGCUUCGAUCUUUGUUGGGCAUACUAUCGACUGAGUUUGAAUUUUGUGGUUGUGUUUUGGUCGCAUAGUUCAGGCUGGCUUGUACUUUCUUGGGUGUGUGCUAGUUUGGCCGGCUAGAUGUGUUUAGUUUUCCA